AUGAAGCGUUUCAAAACUAUGCAAGACUCUCGCUGCAAGCCAUAUGAAGAAAGUGCAAAAGUUGUUAUCAGGCAGAUUGAGCAGGAUGAGGCUGCUGCCACCGACAGCAGGGCUGGUGAUGGUACUGAGGCUAAUGUUUCUGAUCACGAAACGAAUGAUGUUGGCUUGGAGCGCCCUGUUGUUGAUAUUGAGCAAGAUGAGGCUGCUGCCACCGACAGCAGGGCUGAUGAUGGUAUUGAGGCUAAUGUUUCUGAUCACCAUACAAACAUUGUUGGCUUGGAGCACCCUGUUGUUGAUGAGAUCAGUCAUAAUGUUGAAGCUGCUGUUGACCGUGGAGUUAAUGAUCCAUCUACUGAUAAGUGCAAGGUCCUGUUGUUGGCGACGAGCCUUGUUCACCCGUUGGUGAUGUUGCUUUGA
This 417-nucleotide ribosomal RNA is filed under the name Triticum aestivum (bread wheat). RNAcentral's name for it is "partial small subunit ribosomal RNA". The record is from RNAcentral. Lineage: Eukaryota; Viridiplantae; Streptophyta; Magnoliopsida; Poales; Poaceae.